This 198-nucleotide small nuclear RNA is filed under the name Oryza sativa Indica Group (long-grained rice). RNAcentral's name for it is "U2 spliceosomal RNA". Lineage: Eukaryota; Viridiplantae; Streptophyta; Magnoliopsida; Poales; Poaceae. The record is from RNAcentral.
AUCUCUCACUCGAUUUUCUCGCUCAAAUUUACAGUGCCUUUUCUUAUAAGUUACAGUGUAAUUUAUGAAACUUACACUGUAACUUUUGUUAGUUACACUGUAAUUUUUGAAUCUUCGCAUGUAAAUUUUAAAUUUUGUAUUGGAUUUGAUCUUUUUCUUGAGGAUAUGGUAAUUUAGUGUCCAUUAUGGUGUUUCUUA